Molecule: transfer RNA, 61 nt
Filed under: Polyascus gregaria
Lineage: Eukaryota; Metazoa; Arthropoda; Thecostraca; Sacculinidae
Description: tRNA-Ser
Source: RNAcentral
AAAUCUUUAAAAAUUUUAAGUUGCUAACUUAUUUUUCUAAUAUAUAAAAUUAGGUGAUUUU